Molecule: long non-coding RNA, 2854 nt
Organism: Rattus norvegicus (Norway rat)
Lineage: Eukaryota; Metazoa; Chordata; Mammalia; Rodentia; Muridae
Source: RefSeq, a predicted model, not a curated record
UCCAGCCCCGCCCCACCCCUGUCUGACUCACACGCGAGGCGCCACGGAACCUGUAGUGCGCUUGCUCCGGGCUGCACGCGACUAGAAGAUCGUGGGACCUCAGAACCCAACUUGCACUGCGCGCGCGGGGGGGCGGACAGGCCGCAGAGUCCCCUGGUAGUUGUAGUCCUUUUGGCCUUCCUCUGGAAAGUAGUAGUCUGUGGAGAGGGAACUCCCAGGACAGCGACUAACAGAAAAGUAUAAAAACGGAUGACGCGACGGAAUAGAUGAGGAAAAUGUCUCCAGAGGGGUUGCGGUUUCCGGAAAGGAAUGCCAGAAACCCCAGGGAAAGUGGGGGAAGAAUGACUCGCUCCCUUGCCGGCGUGAAUUUCCUCCGGGGUGUGCGCAUGUGUGCGAUCGUGCGGGCGGUCUUUAAAGGAAAAGCGGCAUGUCAGGGAGCUUCAGCACGGCCACCUGGCAUAUGAGGAGCUCAUACCCAGCAGCUGCUUACCUGGCCAGCCACUAGAGUUGAUUACCGAGCAGAGAAGUGAUCCUUCAGUGGGAUGUGGUGAUGAAACAUAAUGAGUUUGAGCCCUGAAAAGAGACACAUGUGUAGCCCCUGUUUAUGCAGAUUCUACCAUUGCAUGGAACCAACAAUCAGAUCACAGUCUUCAUACUUUUUAGCUCCGUCUUAUUCAUCUGCUGCUUCCAAGGCACAGCUUUGUUGCUGAGGCAAACCAAGCAUCCAUGAAGGUGGAAUUACCACAUUAGAAGCCUUAAGACUACACAAGUCUGUUAACUAUUAAAAGACGUUUUAGGCCUACAGGUCUUUUCCCUUCAUCUGGUUCAUUCAGCUUCCAGGAGCCUGGCAGACAGUAAUAAUCUUCCAUGAGGUAUCUGACCAGUCCAAGAGAGAAAAUGAAGAAACUAAUGCUGAGGGAUUCUGCAAGGAAAUAGGCCAGCCAGAUCACAAGGAGUGACGAUCGUCCGGCAUGGAACACCUAGUGCCACACCGUGCAUGCGCAGCAAACCUCUUAUGUGAAAGCAAGAUAGGGAGAUAGGAAUCCUGGGGCGCAGUGAGGCCUUGGGUUCCCCCUCCAACAGCACAAGAAAAGAGGUAGAGGCUAACAUUUUUAAAUUAUAAAACAACUGGUAGUGCUCACAUGUAAUCCCAGUACUCAGGGGGCUGAGGAAGAAGGCUUUGUGAGUUCAAGGCUGCCCUGGGCUAGACUGAGCCGUUAAAGCCUGCCUAGGGUACAUAGACCGUACCCCACUACCACCAAAUCACUUGGAGACUUACGAUACUGUAUUUAUGACAGAGCAUGCAGUUUCAAGGAGGAAGCAUCCAGAAAACAAAAGCACAGUUUAAUCGAAAGCCUGUAGCAGAAUUUUUUUUUCAUUAGAAAACUUUAAAUAGAAAAUUUUUGUUGUGGUGGUUGUUUGUGGAGGUAGAAAUCUUCCUGUGUAGCCUAGCUGGCCAAGAACUUACCAUUUAGACCAGGCUAGCCCAAAACUUCAGCAAGUCCUCCUGCCUCAACCUCCUAAGUGUGCUGAGAUUACAGGUGUGCGUAUUCCUGUGUAAAAAAAAGAGGUUUUCUAGCUUUUCCUCAGAUGGUGAAAAUGGUAGCUUAUAUUCAUUACAUGCAUUUUAAUGUAUAUUUUGACAUAAUACAUAAGAUUAUGUAUCGAACAGCUGUGGUGUUCCUUUUUUUUUUUCCUCGUUUUUUUAGAUGAGCACAUUCUUUUCUUUACCUCUCAAAAGCAGAGCCGCAGGCCCAGUUCAGCGGCAGAGUAUUUGCUGCACAUGCUCCAAGGCCUGGGUUCCAUUCCUAGCACUACAGUAAGAGAAUACAAAACCACAGGAGAUUGAAAUAAAAUAUAGGAGAGGGUGGGGUGGAAACGAUGCAGAUAAAGUACUCAUUUGAAACUCACAAAUGUAAAAAAUAAAUUAGACAACCUGCUCGCAAACCCCAAAUAAUGAAAGCCCAAAUCCCAGACGGGGAAAAGAAAUAGAGAAGGAGUUAGGAUACAACAGUGAUAGAGGACUUGCCUGGCUUGUAUAAAACCCCAGGUAAGAGCAAGAAUAGCAAGAGCCACUAGAUGCCUAGCACAGUCUCUGAAAACAGACCUCUGCUGACUUCUACCAUUGUGGAAUUUCAAAAUUCUGUAGACAAAAAGUAUGAUUCCAAUGUCCAGAGUAGAACUCCAUAGAGAAUAUGAGUUCAUUCUGGCUACAUAGCAUGACCCAGUCUCACAGAUAGAUAGAUAGAUAGAUAGAUAGAUAGAUAGAUAGAUAGAUAGAUAGAUAGAUAGAUAGGAUGGACAGACGGACUGGCAGACAAACUCUUCUGCAGGUGGAGGCACUUACCACCAAGCUGACGACCCGAAUUCAAGCCCCACAACCCAUAUAAUACAAGAAGAGAACCCAGUCCCAUAAUCUGUCUUCUGACCUCCACAUGGCACCCACACAUGCUUUUAUACACACAUAAAUAAACAAAUGAAGAAAUAAGUAAAUGUGAAAAAGCUAAAAGGCCAAACAAACACAAAGCAAUAUAUAAACUGCAUCUGAAAUAAGAAAAUAUAAGAAGCAUGGAGGUGCCUGCCUAUAGUACCAGCUUAUCAGAAAGCUGAAGCAGAAUUGAGAAUUUAAGGCCAGUGUGACACAUAUACAAAGUUACAUGCCAGUCCAAGCUAUAUAACAAGACCUGAGCCAGGCAUAGUGGUUCAUGCCUUUAAUCUCAGCCCUCAGGCUCUCUGAGUUCGAAACCAGCCUGGUCUACAAAGCAAAUUUAGGACAGCUAGGGCUACAUAGAAUAAUCCUGUCUUGAAAAACAAAAACAAAAAAACAAGGCCUGAGACCUUGUUUCAAAACAAA